Molecule: ribosomal RNA, 379 nt
Filed under: uncultured eukaryote
Lineage: Eukaryota
Description: partial 18S ribosomal RNA
Rfam family: Eukaryotic small subunit ribosomal RNA
Source: RNAcentral
CAAUAGCGUAUAUUAAAGUUGUUGCAGUUAAAAAGCUCGUAGUUGGAUUUCGGGACGGGCCAGUUGGUCCGCCGCAAGGUGUGUUACUGACUGGUCUGUUCUUCUUCGCAAAGACUUCGUAUGCUCUUCGUUGAGUGUGCGUAGGAUUUACGACGUUUACUUUGAAAAAAUUAGAGUGUUCAAAGCAGGCUAUCGCUUGAAUACAUGAGCAUGGAAUAAUGGAAUAGGACUUUGGUCCUAUUUUGUUGGUUUCUAGGACCGAAGUAAUGAUUAAGAGGGACAAUUGGGGGCAUCCGUAUUUCGUUGUCAGAGGUGAAAUUCUUGGAUUUACGAAAGACGAACAACUGCGAAAGCACUUGCCAAGAGUGUUUUCAUUAAC